CACGUAGGGUGCGAGCGUUGUCCGGAAUUAUUGGGCGUAAAGAGCUCGUAGGCGGUGUGUCGCGUCGGCCGUGAAAACCUGCAGCUUAACUGUGGGCUUGCGGUCGAUACGGGCAUCACUGGAGUUCGGCAGGGGAGACUGGAAUUCCUGGUGUAGCGGUGAAAUGCGCAGAUAUCAGGAGGAACACCGGUGGCGAAGGCGGGCUUCUGGUUGACAUCUGACGCUGAGGUGCGAAAGCUAGGGGAGCGAACGGG
This 254-nucleotide ribosomal RNA is filed under the name uncultured bacterium. RNAcentral's name for it is "partial 16S ribosomal RNA". It matches the Rfam family "Bacterial small subunit ribosomal RNA", at positions 524 to 776 of the family's 1533-position model. The record is from RNAcentral.